GAUGAACGCUGGCGGCGUGCCUAAUACAUGCAAGUCGAGCGAACGGACGAGAAGCUUGCUUCUCUGAUGUUAGCGGCGGACGGGUGAGUAACACGUGGAUAACCUACCUAUAAGACUGGGAUAACUUCGGGAAACCGGAGCUAAUACCGGAUAAUAUUUUGAGCCGCAUGGUUCAAAAGUGAAAGACGGUCUUGCUGUCACUUAUAGAUGGAUCCGCGCUGCAUUAGCUAGUUGGUAAGGUAACGGCUUACCAAGGCAACGAUGCAUAGCCGACCUGAGAGGGUGAUCGGCCACACUGGAACUGAGACACGGUCCAGACUCCUACGGGAGGCAGCAGUAGGGAAUCUUCCGCAAUGGGCGAAAGCCUGACGGAGCAACGCCGCGUGAGUGAUGAAGGUCUUCGGAUCGUAAAACUCUGUUAUUAGGGAAGAACAUAUGUGUAAGUAACUGUGCACAUCUUGACGGUACCUAAUCAGAAAGCCACGGCUAACUACGUGCCAGCAGCCGCGGUAAUACGUAGGUGGCAAGCGUUAUCCGGAAUUAUUGGGCGUAAAGCGCGCGUAGGCGGUUUUUUAAGUCUGAUGUGAAAGCCCACGGCUCAACCGUGGAGGGUCAUUGGAAACUGGAAAACUUGAGUGCAGAAGAGGAAAGUGGAAUUCCAUGUGUAGCGGUGAAAUGCGCAGAGAUAUGGAGGAACACCAGUGGCGAAGGCGACUUUCUGGUCUGUAACUGACGCUGAUGUGCGAGAGCGUGGGGAUCAAACAGGAUUAGAUACCCUGGUAGUCCACGCCGUAAACGAUGAGUGCUAAGUGUUAGGGGGUUUCCGCCCCUUAGUGCUGCAGCUAACGCAUUAAGCACUCCGCCUGGGGAGUACGACCGCAAGGUUGAAACUCAAAGGAAUUGACGGGGACCCGCACAAGCGGUGGAGCAUGUGGUUUAAUUCGAAGCAACGCGAAGAACCUUACCAAAUCUUGACAUCCUUUGACAACUCUAGAGAUAGAGCUUUCCCCUUCGGGGGACAAAGUGACAGGUGGUGCAUGGUUGUCGUCAGCUCGUGUCGUGAGAUGUUGGGUUAAGUCCCGCAACGAGCGCAACCCUUAAGCUUAGUUGCCAUCAUUAAGUUGGGCACUCUAAGUUGACUGCCGGUGACAAACCGGAGGAAGGUGGGGAUGACGUCAAAUCAUCAUGCCCCUUAUGAUUUGGGCUACACACGUGCUACAAUGGACAAUACAAAGGGCAGCGAAACCGUGAGGUCAAGCAAAUCCCAUAAAGUUGUUCUCAGUUCGGAUUGUAGUCUGCAACUCGACUACAUGAAGCUGGAAUCGCUAGUAAUCGUAGAUCAGCAUGCUACGGUGAAUACGUUCCCGGGUCU
Molecule: ribosomal RNA, 1372 nt
Filed under: uncultured bacterium
Lineage: Bacteria
Description: bacterial SSU rRNA
Rfam family: Bacterial small subunit ribosomal RNA
Source: RNAcentral